UUUCUAUCAGGAACUCCUACAACUGAUCUCUUUCUUACGCGCUCCUGCAGUUGAUUUCUCUUUUACACCCCUUGUUACCAUUCGUGAACCCUAAGGCUCUCAUUCUCUCUCUCGGUUAAGCCUAGAAUUUGUGGGCGAUUUCGAAACCUGGCAAAGCCCCCUGGUUCUUUCACCUUCCUGCGCAACUGAUCUCUCUCGUCGAGGCUCUUGCAACUGAUUUCCCUCCUGCAACUGAUCUCUCUUUUACACCCCCUGUUACCAUUCGCGAACCCUAAGGUGGGAUUGAUGUUGAAGCACUCCAGAUUGGACGAAAUCAGGAUAAUUUUGAGUCAUGUAACUAAAUAUUUAACUUUGGGGAUGUUUGGAUACGAAUUUAAGAUUUUUUGUGAUAUUUCUAAAUAUGUUAAUUGUGGGAUGCUUGGAUAA
This is a long non-coding RNA of Macadamia integrifolia, 426 nucleotides long. RefSeq lists it as uncharacterized. The record is from RefSeq and is a predicted model, not a curated record. The transcript has 3 exons. Lineage: Eukaryota; Viridiplantae; Streptophyta; Magnoliopsida; Proteales; Proteaceae.